CCUACGGGAGGCAGCAGUGAGGAAUAUUGGUCAAUGGGCGCAAGCCUGAACCAGCCAAGUAGCGUGAAGGAUGACUGCCCUAUGGGUUGUAAACUUCUUUUAUAUGGGAAUAAAGUGCAGUAUGUAAACUGCUUUGCAUGUACCGUAUGAAUAAGGAUCGGCUAACUCCGUGCCAGCAGCCGCGGUAAUACGGAGGUUCCGAGCGUUAUCCGGAUUUAUUGGGGUUAAAGGGAGCGUAGGCGGGUUGUUAAGUCAGUUGUGAAAGUUUGCGGCUCAACCGUAGAAUUGCAGUUGAUACUGGCGUCCUUGAGUACAGGAGAGGUAGGCGGAAUUCGUGGUGUAGCGGUGAAAUGCUUAGAUAUCACGAAGAACUCCGAUUGCGAAGGCAGCUUGCUGGACUGUAACUGACGCUGAUGCUCGAAAGUGUGGGUAUCAAACAGGAUUAGAUACCCGGGUAGUC
This 460-nucleotide ribosomal RNA is filed under the name uncultured bacterium. RNAcentral describes it as "partial 16S ribosomal RNA". It matches the Rfam family "Bacterial small subunit ribosomal RNA", at positions 338 to 795 of the family's 1533-position model. The record is from RNAcentral.